ACCAAGCCUUGAAGAGGUCCGCCCCUGGCUCUCACCCUUUCCAGAAAACAACAACGGUCGAAGGAGUGAGAAAGAAGAAGAUUCACAGCAGAAGAAGAAUACCAGGAAGGAAGAAGAAUGUAACAUGGGUUAGUGAUUUUCUCUAUAAUCAUCUCUCUUUAUACUGUAAAAUUUGUGGUUUCUUCUUCUUUAUUGUUUUCAAAAGCUUCCCUACUUUUACUACAAAAUCUUCUUAUUUGUUUCUAUGUUGUGUUGGAAUUUACUUACCUAGCAAUUUUAUGUUGUCCUGUUUCAGUUUUAUGAAUGCACACCAUGUGUUUGACAAAAUGUUCUUUCCAGUAACAGGUGCUAAUUUUUCUGACCGGGAAUCUAUACAUGUUUCAUGUUUAUAGCAAGUUUUUAACUAAACUAAAUUACAUGUUGAUUAGCAUGUUUGUUUCCUCUUCAUUAGGUGAGCAUUGUUUCUCUCCUCUCUAUUCUUUCUUCUUGACAUUUUGUGUUGGCGCAGCUUAAGCUUUUGGCUUCACACACUUUGGCCUGCACAGGCCUAACAAGCAAGCAGACAAUCAAGGAAACACGCGCGCGCUGCACUGUCACUUUGGCCUAGCCAAUGAGCACAGUUUAUGCAGGAUCUACAAUCCUUGUUGCUGCAACAAUGGUGAAUGGAUGGAAAGGAAGAAAACCACACGAUUAACAGAGGAAGAAGAAGAUGAAGAUUAGGGAAAAAUGGAGUCAGUUUUAUUCAUCCUCGAUGGGGGAAAAAAUAGUUGAUUACAAUCACUAAUCAUGAGCCUAUAUUUAUACUAAUACUAGAUCAUCACAUUAGUUGAUGAUUCUCUUAUGCCCUAACCAACUAACAACUCCCUAACUGACUCNNNNNNNNNNNNNNNNNNNNNNAACUCUAUUAACAAACUAACUAACUUGCUUCUCAAGCAAUUAGUUACACUUUCACUUUUUGCUAGCUUGCACACCAAGUCAGCUUAUGCACAAUAUGAAUUAAUCAUCUAGAGUCCUCUUAGAUUCAACAUUUUGUUCAUCUGUCUGUGUUUAAAUCUUGACUUUUUUUCUAUUGAUUGAAGCUAGCCGAAAUGGAAAGAUCAAAUAGAUUAUAUCCAGAACUGAUUUUCUAUUUGAAGUUUUCAAAACUAUAUGCAAACCUGUUUUUCUAUUUGAAGAUUACACAUUUAUAAAACCACUUGGUUAAGUUUUCAAAACUAUAUUUGAAGAUAGAAAGAAUAUUUAGUAACAUUAUAGCAAUGGUUUGGUAUGAACUUCAAAAAAUAUAUUGGUUGUAAUAAGGUAAUCUUUUGUAAUCUUUUCAUGUCUAUGUUAAUAUUUAUUGUUAUAUUUCAAGAUUGUACUAAGGUAAUCAUUUGGUCCUUAUAUUUGAUAAUGAAAUCUACCGAUUUGGAUCCUCAGCACCCUUGUAAUUUCAGCAUUUUAAUCUAACUGUUAUCUCAUGAUGUUUUCUCUGUAGCCUCCCAUGUAUCUUUUAUAUUCCAAAUAUUUCAGUUUUGUCCUUGCUAAAAACUAUAACCAAUUUUGUUUCUAAACACAUCAACUAUUUUAGGAAACAAAAUAUUUGAUUCAAGAAUAUUCCUUGCUGGAACUUUUGGACCAACUGCAAUUUGAAGCCCAAAUUCAAGACCUAGCACGUGCUAGCUCAGGCUAUAUAAAGGAAGGCCAAAACCUAAUUUUACACACAGAAUCAUAAACGUAUAUCAAAGAUGUAGUCUUUAGGGUUUCGUGUCUUGUAGCCACUCUCUAGGAGAGUUGGUGUAAGUGAACCACUCGGGUUAUGAGAUGAUCACUAUGUCCUCACUCAAAAACCUUUAGGUAAUGAGUUGAGUAUUGUACUUGGAGGAAGCUUGUAAGCAACUCCAAAUUGUGAACUUAGUCAAGAAUGUUGGCUAGGUAUUAGUUUUAUGUGAGUGUGACUCUUUGCAGAUUGUUAUCGAUUGUAAACACAUGUUGUGUUGAUUGAGGGAAGUGAGCGGAGGUUCUCACAUCUAGGAGUUCCUAGGUAGAAGUUGCACAGGUAGUGUCUAGGUGAUAAGUCAUAAACUGGGUGUUUAUUGAGUGCUUUGAACUGGAACUAUUUAGUGGAUUUCCUUCCUGGAUUGGUA
RNAcentral lists this long non-coding RNA (2126 nucleotides) under Trifolium pratense (red clover). RNAcentral describes it as "long non-coding RNA (TPRA_LNC009908)". The record is from RNAcentral. Lineage: Eukaryota; Viridiplantae; Streptophyta; Magnoliopsida; Fabales; Fabaceae.